AUUGAACGCUGGCGGCAGGCCUAACACAUGCAAGUCGAGCGGUAGCACAGAGAGCUUGCUCUCGGGUGACGAGCGGCGGACGGGUGAGUAAUGUCUGGGAAACUGCCUGAUGGAGGGGGAUAACUACUGGAAACGGUAGCUAAUACCGCAUAACGUCGCAAGACCAAAGUGGGGGACCUUCGGGCCUCAUGCCAUCAGAUGUGCCCAGAUGGGAUUAGCUAGUAGGUGGGGUAAUGGCUCACCUAGGCGACGAUCCCUAGCUGGUCUGAGAGGAUGACCAGCCACACUGGAACUGAGACACGGUCCAGACUCCUACGGGAGGCAGCAGUGGGGAAUAUUGCACAAUGGGCGCAAGCCUGAUGCAGCCAUGCCGCGUGUGUGAAGAAGGCCUUCGGGUUGUAAAGCACUUUCAGCGGGGAGGAAGGCGAUAAGGUUAAUAACCUCAUCGAUUGACGUUACCCGCAGAAGAAGCACCGGCUAACUCCGUGCCAGCAGCCGCGGUAAUACGGAGGGUGCAAGCGUUAAUCGGAAUUACUGGGCGUAAAGCGCACGCAAGCGGUCUGUCAAGUCGGAUGUGAAAUCCCCGGGCUCAACCUGGGAACUGCAUUCGAAACUGGCAGGCUAGAGUCUUGUAGAGGGGGGUAGAAUUCCAGGUGUAGCGGUGAAAUGCGUAGAGAUCUGGAGGAAUACCGGUGGCGAAGGCGGCCCCCUGGACAAAGACUGACGCUCAGGUGCGAAAGCGUGGGGAGCAAACAGGAUUAGAUACCCUGGUAGUCCACGCCGUAAACGAUGUCGAUUUGGAGGUUGUGCCCUUGAGGCGUGGCUUCCGGAGCUAACGCGUUAAAUCGACCGCCUGGGGAGUACGGCCGCAAGGUUAAAACUCAAAUGAAUUGACGGGGGCCCGCACAAGCGGUGGAGCAUGUGGUUUAAUUCGAUGCAACGCGAAGAACCUUACCUGGUCUUGACAUCCACAGAACUUUCCAGAGAUGGAUUGGUGCCUUCGGGAACUGUGAGACAGGUGCUGCAUGGCUGUCGUCAGCUCGUGUUGUGAAAUGUUGGGUUAAGUCCCGCAACGAGCGCAACCCUUAUCCUUUGUUGCCAGCGGUCCGGCCGGGAACUCAAAGGAGACUGCCAGUGAUAAACUGGAGGAAGGUGGGGAUGACGUCAAGUCAUCAUGGCCCUUACGACCAGGGCUACACACGUGCUACAAUGGCAUAUACAAAGAGAAGCGACCUCGCGAGAGCAAGCGGACCUCAUAAAGUAUGUCGUAGUCCGGAUUGGAGUCUGCAACUCGACUCCAUGAAGUCGGAAUCGCUAGUAAUCGUAGAUCAGAAUGCUACGGUGAAUACGUUCCCGGGCCU
Molecule: ribosomal RNA, 1361 nt
Filed under: uncultured bacterium
Lineage: Bacteria
Description: bacterial SSU rRNA
Rfam family: Bacterial small subunit ribosomal RNA
Source: RNAcentral